UUCGAGUGGCGGACGGGUGAGUAACGCGUGGGUAACCUGCCUUACACAGGGGGAUAACACCUGGAAACAGGUGCUAAUACCGCAUAAGCGCACAGGGCCGCAUGGCCCGGUGUGAAAAACUCCGGUGGUGUAAGAUGGACCCGCGUCUGAUUAGCUUGUUGGCGGGGUAAAGGCCCACCAAGGCGACGAUCAGUAGCCGGCCUGAGAGGGUGAACGGCCACAUUGGGGCUGAGACACGGCCCAAACUCCUACGGAAGGCAGCAG
RNAcentral lists this ribosomal RNA (264 nucleotides) under uncultured bacterium. RNAcentral describes it as "partial 16S ribosomal RNA". It matches the Rfam family "Bacterial small subunit ribosomal RNA", at positions 90 to 354 of the family's 1533-position model. The record is from RNAcentral.